UACGUAGGCAGCGAGCGUUGUUCGGAGUUACUGGGCGUAAAGGGUGUGUAGGUGGUUGUUUAAGUUUGGUGUGAAAUCUCCCGGCUCAACUGGGAGGGUGCGCCGAAUACUGAAUGACUAGAGUGCGGGAGAGGAAAGUGGAAUUCCUGGUGUAGCGGUGAAAUGCGUAGAUAUCAGGAAGAACACCUAUGGCGAAGGCAGCUCUCUGGGACGGUACUGACGCUGAGACGCGAAAGCGUGGGGAGCGAACAGG
This 253-nucleotide ribosomal RNA is filed under the name uncultured bacterium. Its description in RNAcentral is "partial 16S ribosomal RNA". It matches the Rfam family "Bacterial small subunit ribosomal RNA", at positions 524 to 776 of the family's 1533-position model. The record is from RNAcentral.